This 253-nucleotide ribosomal RNA is filed under the name uncultured bacterium. RNAcentral describes it as "partial 16S ribosomal RNA". It matches the Rfam family "Bacterial small subunit ribosomal RNA", at positions 524 to 776 of the family's 1533-position model. The record is from RNAcentral.
UACGUAGGGGGCAAGCGUUGUCCGGAUUUAUUGGGCGUAAAGAGCGUGUAGGCGGUUAGGUAGGUCCGUUGUGAAAACUCGAGGCUCAACCUCGAGACGCCGAUGGAAACCAUCUGACUAGAGUCCGGAAGAGGAGAGUGGAAUUCCUGGUGUAGCGGUGAAAUGCGCAGAUAUCAGGAAGAACACCCGUGGCUAAGGCGGCUCUCUAGUACGGUACUGACGCUGAGACGCGAAAGCGUGGGGGGCGAACAGG